RNAcentral lists this ribosomal RNA (660 nucleotides) under Escherichia coli. RNAcentral's name for it is "partial 23S ribosomal RNA". It matches the Rfam family "Bacterial large subunit ribosomal RNA", at positions 593 to 1253 of the family's 2925-position model. The record is from RNAcentral. Lineage: Bacteria; Pseudomonadati; Pseudomonadota; Gammaproteobacteria; Enterobacterales; Enterobacteriaceae.
GUGACUGCGUACCUUUUGUAUAAUGGGUCAGCGACUUAUAUUCUGUAGCAAGGUUAACCGAAUAGGGGAGCCGAAGGGAAACCGAGUCUUAACUGGGCGUUAAGUUGCAGGGUAUAGACCCGAAACCCGGUGAUCUAGCCAUGGGCAGGUUGAAGGUUGGGUAACACUAACUGGAGGACCGAACCGACUAAUGUUGAAAAAUUAGCGGAUGACUUGUGGCUGGGGGUGAAAGGCCAAUCAAACCGGGAGAUAGCUGGUUCUCCCCGAAAGCUAUUUAGGUAGCGCCUCGUGAAUUCAUCUCCGGGGGUAGAGCACUGUUUCGGCAAGGGGGUCAUCCCGACUUACCAACCCGAUGCAAACUGCGAAUACCGGAGAAUGUUAUCACGGGAGACACACGGCGGGUGCUAACGUCCGUCGUGAAGAGGGAAACAACCCAGACCGCCAGCUAAGGUCCCAAAGUCAUGGUUAAGUGGGAAACGAUGUGGGAAGGCCCAGACAGCCAGGAUGUUGGCUUAGAAGCAGCCAUCAUUUAAAGAAAGCGUAAUAGCUCACUGGUCGAGUCGGCCUGCGCGGAAGAUGUAACGGGGCUAAACCAUGCACCGAAGCUGCGGCAGCGACAUUAUGUGUUGUUGGGUAGGGGAGCGUUCUGUAAGCCUGUGA